Molecule: ribosomal RNA, 200 nt
Filed under: Salmonella enterica subsp. enterica serovar Agona
Lineage: Bacteria; Pseudomonadati; Pseudomonadota; Gammaproteobacteria; Enterobacterales; Enterobacteriaceae
Description: partial 23S ribosomal RNA
Rfam family: Bacterial large subunit ribosomal RNA
Source: RNAcentral
GCGUAAUAGCUCACUGGUCGAGUCGGCCUGCGCGGAAGAUGUAACGGGGCUAAACCAUGCACCGAAGCUGCGGCAGCGACACUCAGGUGUUGUUGGGUAGGGGAGCGUUCUGUAAGCCUGUGAAGGUGGCCUGUGAGGGUUGCUGGAGGUAUCAGAAGUGCGAAUGCUGACAUAAGUAACGAUAAAGCGGGUGAAAAGCC